GCCAUCCAAACAGGUGUACAGCAGACUGCCACUGUGAAAUCGCUGUUGGCACGGGGCAAGCACUUGUCUCCUUCACAGCUGGCAAAAAAACUGAUGUCACCUGUUAAACCCUAUCCAAAACUGCAGUCCACUGUACCUCCUCCUACAGCAGAACCCCCAGCCAAACGUAUGGCCCAAAGGCAGCUUUUUACUACUGGCACUUCCAGAUCCACUGCUGAAGAUGAUGAAGAACUGGUGUUUGCUGCAUCACAAUGUGAAGCACAGCUCUUUGCAG
Molecule: long non-coding RNA, 274 nt
Organism: Danio aesculapii
Lineage: Eukaryota; Metazoa; Chordata; Actinopteri; Cypriniformes; Danionidae
Exons: 3
Source: RefSeq, a predicted model, not a curated record